CAGACUUCCAGAGACGGAUUGNUGACCUUCGGGAACAUUGAGACAGGUGCCUGCAUGUCUGUCGUCAGCUCGUGUCGUGAGAUGUUGGGUUAAGUCCCGUAACGAGCGCAACCCUUGUCCUUAGUUACCAGCACGUUAUGGUGGGCACUCUAAGGAGACUGCCGGUGACAAACCGGAGGAAGGUGGGGAUGACGUCAAGUCAUCAUGGCCCUUACGGCCUGGGCUACACACGUGCUACAAUGGUCGGUACAGAGGGUUGCCAAGCCGCGAGGUGGAGCUAAUCCCACAAAAUCGAUCGUAGUCCGGAUCGCAGUCUGCAACUCGACUGCGUGAAGUCGGAAUCGCUAGUAAUCGCGAAUCAGAAUGUCGCGGUGAAUACGUUCCCGGGUC
This 390-nucleotide ribosomal RNA is filed under the name Pseudomonas fluorescens. RNAcentral's name for it is "bacterial SSU rRNA". It matches the Rfam family "Bacterial small subunit ribosomal RNA", at positions 994 to 1380 of the family's 1533-position model. The record is from RNAcentral. Lineage: Bacteria; Pseudomonadati; Pseudomonadota; Gammaproteobacteria; Pseudomonadales; Pseudomonadaceae.